GACGAACGCUGGCGGCGUGCUUAACACAUGCAAGUCGAACGGAAAGGCCCUGCUUGCAGGGUACUCGAGUGGCGAACGGGUGAGUAACACGUGGGUGAUCUGCCCUGCACUUCGGGAUAAGCCUGGGAAACUGGGUCUAAUACCGGAUAGGAGCCAUUUUUAGUGUGAUGGUUGGAAAGUUUUUUCGGUGUAGGAUGAGCUCGCGGCCUAUCAGCUUGUUGGUGGGGUAAUGGCCUACCAAGGCGGCGACGGGUAGCCGGCCUGAGAGGGUGGACGGCCACAUUGGGACUGAGAGACGGCCCAGACUCCUACGGGAGGCAGCAGUGGGGAAUAUUGCACAAUGGGCGCAAGCCUGAUGCAGAGACGCCGCGUGGGGGAUGACGGCCUUCGGGUUGUAAACUCCUUUCGCUAGGGACGAAGCUUUUUGUGACGGUACCUAGAUAAGAAGCACCGGCUAACUACGUG
RNAcentral lists this ribosomal RNA (465 nucleotides) under uncultured bacterium. RNAcentral's name for it is "partial 16S ribosomal RNA". It matches the Rfam family "Bacterial small subunit ribosomal RNA", at positions 28 to 507 of the family's 1533-position model. The record is from RNAcentral.